Carya illinoinensis is the source of this 106-nucleotide small nucleolar RNA. Lineage: Eukaryota; Viridiplantae; Streptophyta; Magnoliopsida; Fagales; Juglandaceae. The record is from RefSeq and is a predicted model, not a curated record.
AAUCCAUGGUGAGGGCAACGUCAAGUAGAUCUUUAUAUCACUCCCAAGCCUCGUAAAGUGAUUCACCCUCAAUUUGAGAAAAAAUUGAAAUUUCAUUACUCAUCUU